AGGACGAACGCUGGCGGCGUGCUUAACACAUGCAAGUCGAGCGGAAAGGCCCUUCGGGGUACUCGAGCGGCGAACGGGUGAGUAACACGUGAGUAAUCUGCCCCUAGCUCUGGGAUAGCUCCGGGAAACCGGGAUUAAUACCAGAUACGACCACUUUAGACAUCUGUUGUGGUGGAAAGAAUUUUGGCUAGGGAUGAGCUCGCGGCCUAUCAGCUUGUUGGUGAGGUAACGGCUCACCAAGGCGACGACGGGUAGCCGGCCUGAGAGGGCGACCGGCCACACUGGGACUGAGACACGGCCCAGACUCCUACGGGAGGCAGCAGUGGGGAAUAUUGCGCAAUGGGCAAAGCCUGACGCAGCGACGCCGCGUGGGGGAUGAAGGCCUUCGGGUUGUAAACCCUUCAGCAGGGACGAAGCGAAGUGACGGUACCUGCAGAAGAAGCGCCGGCUAACUACGUGCUAGCAGCCGC
RNAcentral lists this ribosomal RNA (470 nucleotides) under uncultured bacterium. Its description in RNAcentral is "SSU rRNA". It matches the Rfam family "Bacterial small subunit ribosomal RNA", at positions 26 to 518 of the family's 1533-position model. The record is from RNAcentral.